Drosophila miranda is the source of this 456-nucleotide long non-coding RNA. RefSeq lists it as uncharacterized. The transcript is spliced from 2 exons. NCBI's taxonomy places the organism in Eukaryota, Metazoa, Arthropoda, Insecta, Diptera, Drosophilidae. The record is from RefSeq and is a predicted model, not a curated record.
UUUCAUUCGUUUUCCGGCUCUCGUUCAGGCAACAACUAAAAAUUAUUUUCGGGAAAAAAAAAUUAUGAAAAUUAUUUGAGUAAAAAAAUUUGUGUGUAAAAAUGUUUACGCGAGUUAAAAAAUUUUGUUUGUGAAAAGUAUCACAAGUGUAAAAAUUAUUAUUCGUAAAUCCUAAUUCCAAUGAUGGCUAAAAGUAUCUCCACACAAUUCAGCCCACACUCCAUACUCCAAACUACACAAUCCACACUUUAAGCUACCCAGUCCACACUCAUUGAACCGCAUUUCAAUCUACCAGACUCUUAUACACAAACUACACUUCGAUAAGCAUAUACAUAUGUAUAAGCAUACUUCUUAUACGCUAAUCUGCACACUUAUACUCUGAUCUGCACACUUAUCUACACUCUACGCCAAUCUGCGGAGUUAUUUACACUCUACGCCAAUCUGCGGAGUUAAUUA